AACCCUGGAAUGAGUACUGCUUAUCAAGAUCUGGGUAUGAGAAGACUUAAAAAGUCAGAUAGUCAGUGAGAACCAGCUAGAAUCCAUGAUCUGUUGUGGGAAAACUAGAAGACCAAAAAAAGCACAAAAGUCAAGAAAGAAGUCUCUUUUCACAUGAAAGUGGCCUGAAGACAAAUACUGCUAUGAAUGGUUACAUCUAGGACUACUGAGAUUAGCCCCAGAUUCAACUCAUUUUUUUUUUCAUUUGCUCAGCAAUAUGACAUGUUUAUGCUGAUUAGCUAAAAAGUUAUGUGAGGAAUGGGCAACAAUAUCUCUAAGGCAAGAUAUGCUCAGAACCGAUAUAGUUCAUAUAGACCUUGUCAGAGUAAAUGACCAUGUGCCUUUCAGAACACUAAAGAAUAAAGUCUUUCCACAUUAGAAUGACAAA
Molecule: long non-coding RNA, 427 nt
Organism: Pongo pygmaeus (Bornean orangutan)
Lineage: Eukaryota; Metazoa; Chordata; Mammalia; Primates; Hominidae
Exons: 3
Source: RefSeq, a predicted model, not a curated record